GACGAACGCUGGCGGCGUGCCUAAUACAUGCAAGUAGGACGCAGUUGCGAACGGGUGAGUAACGCGUAGGUAACUACCUAUUAGAGGGGGAUAACUAUUGGAAACGAUAGCUAAUCCCGCAUACUAGUAGAUGGACCUGCGUUGUAUUAGCUAGUAGGUAGGGUAAUGGCCUACCUAGGCAAUGAUACAUAGCCGACCUGGGAGGGUGAUAGGCACCACCGGGCCUGAGACACGGGCCAGACUCCUGCGGGAGGCAGCCAUAGGGAAACUUCGGCAAUGGGGGGAACCCUGACCGAGCAACGCCGCGUGAGUGAAGAAGGUUUUCGGGUCGUAAAGCUCUGUUGUUAAGGAAGCGGUACUUAACCAGAAAGGGACGGCUAACUACGUGCCAGCAGCCGCGGUAAUAC
Molecule: ribosomal RNA, 407 nt
Filed under: uncultured bacterium
Lineage: Bacteria
Description: partial 16S ribosomal RNA
Rfam family: Bacterial small subunit ribosomal RNA
Source: RNAcentral